GAUAAACGCUGGCGGCGUGCAUGAGACAUGCAAGUCGAACGAAGGAUCGGGCUUGCUCGAUCCUUAGUGGCGGACGGCUGAGUAACGCGUAGGUGACCUACCCCGAAGUGGGGAAUAACUGCCCGAAAGGGUGGCUAAUACCGCAUGUGGUCGCACGUUCAUUCGUGCGAGUAAAGCCGCAAGGCGCUUCGGGAGGGGCCUGCGUCCGAUUAGCUCGUUGGUGGGGUAAUGGCUUACCAAGGCGACGAUCGGUAGGUGGUCUGAGAGGACGAUCACCCAGACUGGGACUGAGACACGGCCCAGACUCCUACGGGAAGCAGCAGUCGGGAAUUUUGCUCAAUGGGGGAAACCCUGAAGCAGCAACGCCGCGUGAGGGAUGAAGGCCUUCGGGUUGUAAACCUCUUUUGUCAGGGACGAUGAUGACGGUACCUAGCGAAUAAGCCACGGCUAACUACGUG
RNAcentral lists this ribosomal RNA (458 nucleotides) under uncultured bacterium. RNAcentral describes it as "partial 16S ribosomal RNA". It matches the Rfam family "Bacterial small subunit ribosomal RNA", at positions 28 to 507 of the family's 1533-position model. The record is from RNAcentral.